CCCGCGGCCCCCAGCCCCCGCCACCCCGGCGCCGGCCCCUCUCACCCUUUCAUUCUCUGCCCGGGGCCUGACGCGGGCCGGCGAAGCCCCGGCCUCACAUCAGAGUGAGAGGCGCUGGCAAUGGACUAGGAAGCUCGGCUGCCGCUGCUACUGCUCCCCCCUGGGCUCCGGCGAGAGCCUUUCCCUGUCAAGCAAGAGGGGUGAAGAUCAUAUUUUUAUUUUGGAAACUAAAAAGUGCUCCCAGGGUCGGUGAUUAUUAAGGGGAAAUCCCUGAAUAUACUCUCCAGCCAAGAAGGCAGGGCUGCCGGGGCUGCACAAGAAGAGGCAGCCUCCUACAGCACCACUACAGGCACUGCGAGGACAUAACACCAGAGAGCCGCUCCUCUGCCCUCCGAAACGACAACUUUCCUACCAUCUUGGAGGCAGAGGAAAGGGGGGCCGGGGGGAAAAGUGCACCCGCUCCCGAUAAAGUACAAAUUUCUACUUCUCGUCUCUGGAAAAAAGUCCACACCGGCCGUCUACACCGGCGCCUGGGCGAAAAAGCAGGGAAGAAACUGGGGGUGCUUGAGAAACGUUUUCAUUUGCACCACGGGGAAAAAUGUUUCUGCAUCUUCUGAUGGAAAGAAAUCUUUACAAGACACAGGUUUUCCGACCCAAGUUCUGUGUCCGGUGGUCCGUUUAUAAAUUUGUACUUCAGGAGACUUCAUAGCCACUUGAUCUCCAUUUGGCUACUUAUAUGUUUUUACGUGCAUAUUUACAGGUUGCCUUAUAUAUAAAAAUGUGUAUUCUGUAUUCCCCUCAAAACUGAGAUUGCUAAAGGACAAUUGUAAAGGGAUGUCUUUUGUCUCCUUUUCUCAAAGCAAUGUAAAUAAAUCCUAUUGACUGUCCAGAAAGGCAUGAUACAGCUGUUUAUUUUCCACAGUGCAAAUAAAGGCAGAGAUCAUGGAGAGGUUAAAUACAACUUAAGUGUAACUGACCAGAUCUCUGGAAAUAAUUCUAAUUCUGUUAUGGUCUCCCCAGGAAGAAAGGUUACUGUAAAACUGGAAAUAGAUUUGAAAGACAGCUUUAGAUUUUCUUUAAAACUGCUUAUUAAGAAACUUUGCUUAUUAUACCCAGAUAUUUGAUUUUCUAAUUAGAUUCUUUAGAUCUUUGUUGCCUUGCACGCGUCGCUGCCCACUUUCUGUGUCACAGAAUGGAAAAAUGUGUGUUUUUGUUAGAGUUGCUAUGCUGUUCGUAACUUCCAAUGUGCUGCCAGCCUCUAUCAAUUACUUUUAUUAUAUCGCAGUGGAUGUCACGGAUCUACUUUUUUUAAUGAGCAAAGCAUACUAGGUAAGUGGGACCAAAGUUACACAAAGCUGAGAUAGUAGAGGUGAGAGAAGGGUGCCGCCCCCUUGCAGCAAUUCCCACAGAACUCUGAAUGGAGGAAAAGAAAUCACAGAGAUAUUUUUCUGUUUUUGCGAAGAAAGAGGCGAAUACCAGAAAAUGACCAGCGGAUCUUUUUGUAUGUUCUACAGGGAAUGAUUAAUUCGAAUCUUGGACUAAAAAGUUCGUUGUUGUUUUGGUUUUUUUUUUUUUUAACAUAUGUUGACUAAUUUAGUGGGAGUGGAUUUGUAAUAUUAGUGCCUUGAAUCAGCAGAAUAUUUAUUUCGUUUACAAUGUAUUGCAAAGCACUUAGAAAUAACUGAUGACUCCACUUAAAAAUCUUCCUUUUUUUGAGCUUCCAAAUUUAGAAAUUCCCAUAAUGUUAAAGUGAGUUCAGAUAAUGCAUGUAUCAGUACUUAUUAUUUUCAUGUUGACCCCCAUCUUUAUCAUCGAAAUUUGAAUACAGUACCUGAGUAGUCUUGA
Long non-coding RNA from Ailuropoda melanoleuca (giant panda), 1845 nucleotides. RefSeq lists it as uncharacterized. The record is from RefSeq and is a predicted model, not a curated record. The transcript has 3 exons. NCBI's taxonomy places the organism in Eukaryota, Metazoa, Chordata, Mammalia, Carnivora, Ursidae.